CAGUGGAAACAGCAACAUCUUCACCCCUUGGCCGUUGUAACCCAGGUGUCCCCAUGGUUGCAGAUUGUAAAGGCUGCAAAACCACACAGGCAAUAGCAGGAGGAGGAGCAGGGAGCAGAAUGUGAGAGCCAAUCACUUGGAAACCCAGAGACUUUCCCGGCUGUAGCUCUGAGGCAAUGGUUCCUAGUGGCUACCACGCUGCCGCACCUAGAGGAAGACCCAAGAGCAUCAGAGAGACUGGAUCAUUUGCUUAUUAAGCUGGGCCCACCUGUGAUAAACCCUGAGGUCCAGCUGCACUUAUCAGAGGUUCCAGGCACAUCUCAGAACCGAACUGAUAAAUUCCCAAAUGGUUAUGGAGGAGGAUGACACAGAAGAGGCACCUAAACCACUGGGACACUAUAUUCGAGAGGGUUUGAAGCAGCUGUACCAGGAGCAGCGACUGUGUGAUGCCACCAUAGUGGC
Molecule: long non-coding RNA, 462 nt
Organism: Mauremys mutica (yellowpond turtle)
Lineage: Eukaryota; Metazoa; Chordata; Testudines; Geoemydidae
Exons: 4
Source: RefSeq, a predicted model, not a curated record